UACGGAGGUGGCAAGCGUUGCUCGUAAUCACUGGGCGUAAAGGGCGCGUAGGCGGGGAGGUAAGUCGGGUGUGAAAUCCCUCGGCCCAACCGAGGAACUGCGCCCGAGACUGCUUCUCUUGAGUCCCGGAGAGGAAGAUGGAAUUCCCGGUGUAGCGGUGAAAUGUGUAGAGAUCGGGAGGAACACCGGUGGCGAAGGCGGUCUUCUGGACGGUGACUGACGCUGAGGCGCGAAAGCGUGGGGAGCAAACGGG
This 253-nucleotide ribosomal RNA is filed under the name uncultured bacterium. RNAcentral describes it as "partial 16S ribosomal RNA". It matches the Rfam family "Bacterial small subunit ribosomal RNA", at positions 524 to 776 of the family's 1533-position model. The record is from RNAcentral.